AGACUCCUACGGGAGGCAGCAGUGGGGAAUAUUGCACAAUGGGGGAAACCCUGAUGCAGCCAUGCCGCGUGUGUGAAGAAGGCCUUCGGGUUGUAAAGCACUUUCAGCGAGGAGGAAAGGUUGGCGCCUAAUACGUGUCAACUGUGACGUUACUCGCAGAAGAAGCACCGGCUAACUCCGUGCCAGCAGCCGCGGUAAUACGGAGGGUGCAAGCGUUAAUCGGAAUUACUGGGCGUAAAGCGCACGCAGGCGGUUGGAUAAGUUAGAUGUGAAAGCCCCGGGCUCAACCUGGGAAUUGCAUUUAAAACUGUCCAGCUAGAGUCUUGUAGAGGGGGGUAGAAUUCCAGGUGUAGCGGUGAAAUGCGUAGAGAUCUGGAGGAAUACCGGUGGCGAAGGCGGCCCCCUGGACAAAGACUGACGCUCAGGUGCGAAAGCGUGGGGAGCACACAGGAUUAGAUACCCUGGU
This 466-nucleotide ribosomal RNA is filed under the name Aeromonas bestiarum. RNAcentral describes it as "bacterial SSU rRNA". It matches the Rfam family "Bacterial small subunit ribosomal RNA", at positions 333 to 791 of the family's 1533-position model. The record is from RNAcentral. Lineage: Bacteria; Pseudomonadati; Pseudomonadota; Gammaproteobacteria; Aeromonadales; Aeromonadaceae.